GGACCCGCACAAGCGGUGGAGCAUGUGGUUUAAUUCGACGCAACGCGAAGAACCUUACCAGGGCUUGACAUCCCGGGCCACCUUAGGAAACUAAGGGUUCGAACCUUCGGGUUCGACUCGGAGACAGGUGGUGCAUGGUUGUCGUCAGCUCGUGUCGUGAGAUGUUGGGUUAAGUCCCGCAACGAGCGCAACCCCUACUUUUAGUUGCCAUCAUUAAGUUGGGCACUCUAAAGGAACUGCCGGUGACAAACCGGAGGAAGGUGGGGAUGACGUCAAAUCAUCAUGCCCUUUAUGUCCUGGGCUACACACGUGCUACAAUGGCUGGUACAGAGGGUUGCCAAAACCGUGAGGUGGAGCGAAUCCCAAAAAGCCAGUCUCAGUUCGGAUUGUAGUCUGCAACUCGACUACAUGAAGUCGGAAAUCGCUAGUAAUCGCGAGUCAGCAUAUCG
This 449-nucleotide ribosomal RNA is filed under the name uncultured Bacillota bacterium. RNAcentral describes it as "bacterial SSU rRNA". It matches the Rfam family "Bacterial small subunit ribosomal RNA", at positions 917 to 1359 of the family's 1533-position model. The record is from RNAcentral. Lineage: Bacteria; Bacillati; Bacillota.